GGAAGCAAGGAGACGGAGAGAGACCGAAGGUCUAGUGGCGACGACAGAACCGCCACAUACGGCGGCGGAGGUGGUUGUUUGAUUCGGAUUCGAUGUGGUUUCGGGAGACACGGUUCAGCUUCGUACAAAUUAACUCGAGUUCAGCUCAGGUUUCGGGUACACAUCGAUCGUUCGAAUCGGGUCUCACGGCAUGAGUUAGUCGGCCCAGGUCAGUCGCAAGCUACGGUUGUUUCGGAGCCUUGGCUCGGCUUAGUUCUGGCGCGGUUUAGUUUUGGCUCCGUUCAGCUUCGGUUCGAGAUGUUGUUAAAGGCAGUCGACUCGUCAUUUUGUUCGGUUGAUGAGGAUGAUGCUAAGAAAAGAAGUAGCGUUGAUGCCUAGAUACACAUAUAGACGUUAGGUUUAAAUGUUGUAUCAAUUUUGAUUAUGAUGUUAUGUAUUUCUUUUGAACUUGUUGUUAUUUGAAUUUCCUUGUAUUGUUGACAAUUUAGUUUAU
This 493-nucleotide long non-coding RNA is filed under the name Helianthus annuus (common sunflower). Its description in RNAcentral is "sRNA HanXRQr2_Chr02g0059581". The record is from RNAcentral. Lineage: Eukaryota; Viridiplantae; Streptophyta; Magnoliopsida; Asterales; Asteraceae.